UACGUAGGGGGCAAGCGUUGUCCGGAAUUAUUGGGCGUAAAGAGCGUGUAGGCGGCCAGAUAAGUCCGCUGUGAAAUCUCGAGGCUCAACUUCGAGCUGUCGGUGGAAACUAUCUGGCUAGAGUCUGGAAGAGGAGAAUGGAAUUCCUGGUGUAGCGGUGAAAUGCGCAGAUAUCUGGAGGAACACCGGUGGCGAAGGCGGCAUCCUGGACCAAUACUGACGCUGAGGAGCGAAAGCCAGGGGAGCAAACGGG
Molecule: ribosomal RNA, 253 nt
Filed under: uncultured bacterium
Lineage: Bacteria
Description: partial 16S ribosomal RNA
Rfam family: Bacterial small subunit ribosomal RNA
Source: RNAcentral